AUUGAACGCUGGCGGCAUGCCUUACACAUGCAAGUCGAACGGUAACGGGCCUUCGGUUGUCGACGAGCGGCGAACGGGUGCGUAAUACUUCGGAACGUGCCCGAUCGCGGGGGAUAAAGAGGCGAAAGCUUUGCUAAUACCGCAUACGAUCUAAGGUUGAAAGCAGGGGACUGCAAGGGUUUAAGCGGACGGUGCGGCCGAUGGUAGAUUAGGUAGUUGGUAGGGUAAAAGCUUACCAAGUAAACGCUCUGUAGCUGGUCUGAGAGGAUGAUCCGCCACACUGGAACUGAGACACGGCCCAGACUCCUACGGGAGGCAGCAGUGGGGAAUUUUGGACAAUGGGCGCAAGCCUGAUCCAGCCAUGCCGCGUGCGGGAUGAAGGCCUUCGGAUUGUAAACUGCUUUUAUACGGAACGAAAAACCGUCUAAUAAAACAGGAAGGUCAUGACGGUACCGUAAGAGAAAGCACCGGCUAACUACGUG
This 482-nucleotide ribosomal RNA is filed under the name uncultured bacterium. RNAcentral's name for it is "partial 16S ribosomal RNA". It matches the Rfam family "Bacterial small subunit ribosomal RNA", at positions 30 to 507 of the family's 1533-position model. The record is from RNAcentral.